RNAcentral lists this long non-coding RNA (1618 nucleotides) under Homo sapiens (human). RNAcentral's name for it is "HSALNT0341994". The record is from RNAcentral. Lineage: Eukaryota; Metazoa; Chordata; Mammalia; Primates; Hominidae.
CUGUCUAGAAUCCCAGUACUCCAGGUCCUUGGACUUUUUUGAUUCUGAAUUCUUCUAAUGUCUUCUGUUACCUCUGAGAAGAAGCCAUCCUUUAUCCUGUUCUAGAAAAGUGAUACACCAAGCUUUAGGAAAGAUGAUGAAAGAAAAGAAAUGGGCCCAGAGGGACCUAAGGAAACCAGGCCAAACUUGCUGUUCACGUGGACCCUUACAGGGAGAAUGGAAGGCAAAAGCAGAGAACUGGGUCCAAUUUUCUUUCUCAGUGCUAUCUGUGCAGUGGUCAGAUGUGGCACUCACAACCAAAAGGCUUUUGAAACAGCACUGGUUUGGCUACAGACCUUGAUGUGUGUAUAAUGAAACUUGAAAGGUCUCAGAGGAAGGAACAGUGGUGUAGUGGACGCAGGGGACAGCUGUUCCCUGUUGGGAGACAAUUCUGCAUGGGCCCUUUGUAUUUCUGCACAUCUUGCAAGUAGAGACACUAACUGCAUUUGUGCUGGAUUAGAUUUUCAAGUAAACUGCUUUGGAAGAUGAUAGUGUCUCCCUCUAUAGCAUGAGCAGGUUUGUUUGCUCUUAAACAUGAUAAUAGCUUCUGCUGGGGCAAAGGUAAGGCCGACUUAACUGACCAUUAUAAAAGAUUCAUGUUGGGGAUUCGUUUUUGUAACACAACCCGUGUGUGUGUGUGGGUAUGUGUGUGUGUAAGUGUGUUCGUGCGUGCUUGCAGGUGUCAUCUGCCCCCCUUCUUAUUUUCCUAUGGGAAUUGGGAAUCUGGUGCAAAUGCUGAUACUGUAGCUACUGCUAUUGCUGUGAGUAAUAAACUAGGCUUUGUCUCUAACCCAAGAGUCUUGUGUCUUUUGCCAGCAUUCAUGAAACUGUGGUAGACUAAUUUGUUAACCUGCAAAUAGGGGAAAAAUCUCACAUCCUUCGCAGGUCUUGACAUGAGUCAAGUGACAAACCAAAAAAUGGGGACUUUUUAGUUGAGAAAGACAAAGACCAAAGGGGUAGAGGAUAAGGCUGAAGUAUAUAAAAUCAACAAAAGUAAACUUGGUUGUAUUCACCAGUCUUGAAUAUCAAGUGAAGGGAUGAAUCCCUGAUGUUUGAGAGAGGUAAGUUUAUGUCAAUAGAAAGGAAUUUCUUCACAUACAGGAUACUAACCUUAUAGAACUUACCAUCUCAAUAAAUGGUGCUGGCUGAAACUACAAAUUAUUUUAUAAAAGGCCUCACUAAAGUGAUGGAUGACAAACCUAGAAUGCCCAGUUCAAUACGUAUUGGAUGACCGAGUGUUUGCCAAGUGACCAUCUAUAAGAUGAUCUCAUUAUCUGUGUCAGAGAAGAACUACUGGGAAAAAUCAUUAAUUUGACCUAACAAGGACCAUUUUUAAUCUACAAAGUGAGAAAUAGACUCUUCACUGCUUUAUCUAGUUUUAGUUUUUACUAUGGAUACACAUACAUAAACAUAUACAUUUGGGAUAUGUAAGUAUAAAAAUCUCCUUUACAACAAGCUACAAUUCAUAAUCAUCUUAAUUCAUAAAUGUUAAAUAAUAAUGGUAAAAUAUGCUCCUAUUUUAGGGCAGUUGUUUCCCAAGCUGGAUGUGAAGAACACUUCCAGGAAAUUUUAAGAGGCA